CGGGGCGUGGCGCAGCCUGGUAGCGCGCAUCGUUUGGGACGAUGAGGUCGCGAGUUCGAAUCUCGCCGCCCCGACCA
RNAcentral lists this transfer RNA (77 nucleotides) under Chloroflexota bacterium. Its description in RNAcentral is "tRNA-Pro". It matches the Rfam family "tRNA". Rfam says of the family: Transfer RNA (tRNA) molecules are approximately 80 nucleotides in length. The record is from RNAcentral. Lineage: Bacteria; Bacillati; Chloroflexota.